RNAcentral lists this ribosomal RNA (622 nucleotides) under uncultured beta proteobacterium. RNAcentral describes it as "bacterial SSU rRNA". It matches the Rfam family "Bacterial small subunit ribosomal RNA", at positions 68 to 680 of the family's 1533-position model. The record is from RNAcentral. Lineage: Bacteria; Pseudomonadati; Pseudomonadota; Betaproteobacteria.
GGCAGCACGGGAGCUUGCUCCUGGUGGCGAGUGGCGAACGGGUGAGUAAUGUAUCGGAACGUGCCCAGUCGUGGGGGAUAACUAUCCGAAAGGAUAGCUAAUACCGCAUACGACCUGAGGGUGAAAGCGGGGGACCUGCAAGGGCCUCGCGCGAUUGGAGCGGCCGAUAUCGGAUUAGCUAGUUGGUGGGGUAAAGGCUCACCAAGGCGACGAUCCGUAGCGGGUCUGAGAGGACGACCCGCCACACUGGAACUGAGACACGGUCCAGACUCCUACGGGAGGCAGCAGUGGGGAAUUUUGGACAAUGGGGGCAACCCUGAUCCAGCCAUUCCGCGUGAGUGAAGAAGGCCUUCGGGUUGUAAAGCUCUUUCAGCAGGAACGAAACGGUCGACUUUAAUACAGUCGGCUAAUGACGGUACCUGCANAAGAAGCACCGGCUAACUACGUGCCAGCAGCCGCGGUAAUACGUAGGGUGCGAGCGUUAAUCGGAAUUACUGGGCGUAAAGCGUGCGCAGGCGGUGACAUAAGACAGAUGUGAAAUCCCCGGGCUCAACCUGGGAACUGCGUUUGUGACUGUGUCNCUCGAGUGUANCAGAGGGGGGGUGGAAUUCCACGUGUAGCA